UACAGAGGGUGCGAGCGUUAAUCGGAAUUACCGGGCGUAAAGCGCGCGUAGGCGGCUUUGCAAGUCGGGUGUGAAAUCCCCAGGCCUAACCUGGGAACUGCAUUCGAGACUGCAUGGCUAGAGUAUCGGAGAGGGAAGUGGAAUUUCAGGUGUAGCGGUGAAAUGCGUAGAUAUCUGAAGGAACAUCAGUGGCGAAAGCGACUUCCUGGACGAAUACUGACGCUCAUGUGCGAAAGCGUGGGGAGCAAACAGG
Molecule: ribosomal RNA, 253 nt
Filed under: uncultured bacterium
Lineage: Bacteria
Description: partial 16S ribosomal RNA
Rfam family: Bacterial small subunit ribosomal RNA
Source: RNAcentral